ACAAAGUAAUAGCAUGUGCAAAAAGUAUUGUCUCCAAGACGACCUCCUCCCAUUCCAAGACUUUGAUCAAUUAUUUCCUCAGCUUAGCCUCCUAUUUGUGAAGGAAGGCCGCAGGUGACUUCCAGGAAAACGCAGCGAAAGUAAGCGAGCGAUCUCACUCUGUCGCUUUCUUAGUCAAGUUGUUAUAAGGAUCAGACUCAAGACUUCUCCAGUCACUUGGUGGAUUCAAUCCAGAGAUCUCAUCCCCUCCGUUGUCCUUCCAGAAUGAAGAGAAAGAGGGAGGGAAGAGAGGCGGAGACGGCAGCCUCGACGAGCAGUAGCCAUGAUGAUGGAUCGGGGAGGGGCUACGAGGUGUUCCUGAGCUUCAGAGGGCCUGAUACCCGCUUAACCAUCGCCGAUUGUCUCUACAAUGACAUGAUCCGCGCGGGAAUCCGCGUUUUCAAAGACAACGAGGAGCUCCGAUUUGGCGAAGAGAUCGGAGGUGGCCUCUUGCAAGCGAUCAAUGAGUCCAGGAUUUACAUCCCGAUUUUCUCUAAAGACUACGCUUCAAGCAAGUGGUGCCUCCGUGAGCUGGCACACAUAGUAGAGUUGUCGAGAGAUAACGACCAGAAAGUGAUCCUCCCUAUCUUCUACGACGUGGACGCGGAUGAUGUCAAGCUUAAGACCGAUUUAUAUCAGGAGGCCCUCCAAAACCACAAGAGCGACUCCGGGGAGGAUUUAGUAAAGCAGUGGGAGGAGGCUUUAAGAGAGGUUGCCAGAAUUAGAGGAAGGAAUCUAAAAGAUCACGGCCUGCAUAAACUUACGAAGCUCAUGGUGGAAGAGGUUUCUAGCUUGUUAUGGACAAGACCAUCGGACGUGCCUGAUCAUUUGGUGGGAAUUGAGGAUCAACGGGAUGACAUUAUGAAGCUGCUAGAUCUAGGAGCUGUUGAUGUGCGGUAUAUUGUGAUUCAUGGUAUGGGUGGCAUCGGAAAGACGACGCUAGCUGAUGUCAUCUUCAGGCAAAUCUCCCCUGAAUUUCAGGAUGGUUGCUGCUUUCUUAAAGAUGUUCGGACGCAUGAUAUAUUAGACUUACGAAAGAAAUUGUCAUCCGACAUUCUCCAUCAUAGAUGCACAGACCUCUCCGAUGCUACAGUGAAUGACAUGAUAAAGACGAGAUUUCGUGGCAAGAAAGUCUUAAUUGUUCUUGAUGACAUUGACAAUCGGGAUCAAAUCAAGAAACUUGCAGGCAAGCCUAAUUGGUUUGGUGGAGGAAGUAGAAUAAUCGUAACGAUGAGGAAUAUUGAAUUCUUGGUAAAGAAAGGCGAAAAUGACAAUGACCCAGCCUCAUAUGGUGAACAUUUUUUAUUCUACCCUAUGCCGGAGAUGAAUUGGGCUGAUGCUCUUCAACUUUUUUGUGAACGUGCCUUGGGAUGUGCCAAGCCUCCACCUGAUUACUUGGACAUUACCUAUAAGCUAAUCGAUGCACUUGGAGGACUUCCGUUGGCUCUUGAUGUGGUAGGUUCCACACUCCGUGGAGAAAACCCAAGUACAUGGGAAGAAGUCUUACACAAGUUAAAGAAGGUGAUGAAUCCAGAAGUCAAGAACAAGUUGAUGAUAAGUUACGAAGCAUUGGAGUUUAAUCAACAACAAAUUUAUCUUGAUAUAGCAUGUCUCUUCAUUAAUCAAGAGAAAACAACAGCAAUUAAAUAUUGGGAUGCUCAUUUUGGGUACCCCACCGAAAUCGAAGUCAAGACCCUCAUGCGUAUGUCUCUAAUAAAGAUCAUCAACGAUGAUACAUUAUGGAUGCACGACGAACUUAGAGACCUUGGAAGGGAUAUCGUUCACCUGGAAAGCUGCAACAUACAUCUAAGAGGCAGCAGAUUGUGGUCACCCAGGGACGCCUGCAAUGUAGUGCGGACAAAAAAGGGAACAAAGAACAUAAUAGCGCUCAAUCUUGGCGGACAACCUGAUGCCACAUGCAAAUUUAAAUGCAAGGAAUUUGCGAGGAUGGUCAACCUUAGGUUCCUUCAAUUGGACGGCAGAAACUUUGAAGGAGACUUUAAAAAUAUUUUCUCAGAGUUAAGAUGGCUCUCUUGGAGCAAUUGCCCUUUCGAAUUUCAAGCUACAAGCUUUGGGUUGGAGAACCUAGCGGUUCUCAAGCUUUCAGGGAGUAACAUUACUGAAGACUGGGGAGGAUGGCGUCAAAUCAUGGCAUCAAAACAGUUGAAAGUCCUAGAACUCCACGAUUGUCCAUCCCUUAGAAAGAUGCCCGAGUUUUCUGCAAUCUCGCGACUGGAGAGAUUGAUUCUCGGAUGCCCUCAGCUAAGAAGGAUUGAUGAGUCCAUCGGCAAUCUACAGCAUCUUGAUUACCUGGAAAUAGAGUGUGAAGCUAUGAAGUCAAUACCAGAGUCCAUCGGUGGUCUAAAAUCUUUGACGGAGCUAAGAAUCGAUUCUCAGAGACUCUCGGUGUUGCCCUACUCGAUUGGUAAUUUGGUGAAGCUGAAGCAUCUAAUCUUGAAAUGCCUAGAACUUCGAGAGCUUCCUGACUCCAUUGGACAAUUAGAGUCACUACUUAAGCUGGAUGUCAAUGAUACGAGAAUUAGAGAAUUACCCAAUUCCAUCGGAAACCUAGAAAGGUUGAGAAUUUUUAAGCUCCCACGUCGCAGUUUAGCAAAGCUACCAGACUCGAUUGGGGGGCUCCGAUCAUUGGUCGAGUUGGAUAUGGCGAAUUCAAAAAUCAGCAUAUUACCUGAUUGUAUUGGAAAUCUGAAAAAGUUGAAGUUACUAGAUCUGAGCGAGAGCUGCAUAAGUGAACUUCCGAAAACCAUAGGAAUGUUGGAAAAUCUGGUAGAGUUGUCGGCCUCGUUUGCUCUGGAGAGGGAAAUUCCAAGUGAGAUUGGGGCACUAUCCUCGUUGAAAAUUCUAGACGUACGGGGUAGCAGAUUUAGUGGAUUGCCGGCAACCAUCAAUCAACUUACAAAUCUCCAGAGACUUGUUUUAUAUAACUGUCGUUCAAUUCAACAGCUGCCGGAACUUCCUCAGAGUCUAACGGAGUUGUGCAUUUCAUCAAACUCGCUGACCACAUUCCCCGACUUCUCAAACCUAACCAAUUUGGUUGAUCUCUCUAUAGAGGGAACACCAGUUCAAGAACCCAACAACGUAGACUGGCUUGUGAGACUACACGCUCUGAGGCAGUUGACCCUGAACGUUGGAAAUAUCACCUUCCCUCCAACCGAUUUCAGUUCCCUCUCUCAGCUACAAGAACUCAAAAUAAGUCAUGCUUGCUUUCGACCUGCUACCAGGCUUCCAUCCAGCCUUCGAUCUUUGGUUUUAGAGGAUGUCCAGUCAGCGAUAGAUUGGUCACCCUUUUCCAACUUGGAGAAUUUGUCAUCGCUGUAUAUUAAGGGAUAUUCACUCACAGAGGUGUCGCUUGGAAAGGAACGGAAAUUCAAUGAAUCGAGGAUGCUCGAUCGUCCAUUGCUCACGACGCUGACCGUUCCGCCUUGUCUGAAGGAGAUCCAGCAUUUGAGCCUGUGGGAAUUGCCUCACCUUGCUGAGAUUCAGGAUUUGGGAGAAUUGAAAUCAUUGCAGACAUUGUGGAUUGGGAACUGCAAUUCCAUCAAAAGCUUAGAUCUGUCUAAUUUACGAAAUCUGAAACGAUUGGAACUCAAGAGUUGUGAAUCACUGAAGCGCGUGUUGGGUGUGCCAGAAUCUUGUAAACUCGAAGUAGAGAACUGCCCGAGGUUCAAGUGAGAUGGAUAAGGUAUGUAUCAUCUAAUUGGCAAGGGUAGUCGAUUGAUGAUAUGAGUUUGCCAAUACCUUCCUUAAUUAGGAGAUUUAGGUCUGGGAAUUUGAUGACUCUUGAGUCUUGACUCAUCGGUGAAUUAUUGUAGGGCAAAUGCAACGACCUGUGUUGCUCCCUUUUGUAUCAUAUUUGUUUCCUGCAGCUCCAGAGAAGCC
Molecule: RNA transcript, 3939 nt
Organism: Rhodamnia argentea
Lineage: Eukaryota; Viridiplantae; Streptophyta; Magnoliopsida; Myrtales; Myrtaceae
Gene name: disease resistance protein RPV1-like
Exons: 6
Source: RefSeq, a predicted model, not a curated record